This 465-nucleotide ribosomal RNA is filed under the name Vreelandella stevensii. Its description in RNAcentral is "partial 16S ribosomal RNA". It matches the Rfam family "Bacterial small subunit ribosomal RNA", at positions 338 to 795 of the family's 1533-position model. The record is from RNAcentral. Lineage: Bacteria; Pseudomonadati; Pseudomonadota; Gammaproteobacteria; Oceanospirillales; Halomonadaceae.
CCUACGGGGGGCUGCAGUGGGGAAUAUUGGACAAUGGGGGGAACCCUGAUCCAGCCAUGCCGCGUGUGUGAAGAAGGCCCUCGGGUUGUAAAGCACUUUCAGUGAGGAAGAACGCCUGGUGGUUAAUACCCAUCAGGAAAGACAUCACUCACAGAAGAAGCACCGGCUAACUCCGUGCCAGCAGCCGCGGUAAUACGGAGGGUGCGAGCGUUAAUCGGAAUUACUGGGCGUAAAGCGCGCGUAGGUGGCUUGAUAAGCCGGUUGUGAAAGCCCCGGGCUCAACCUGGGAACGGCAUCCGGAACUGUCAAGCUAGAGUGCGGGAGAGGAAGGUAGAAUUCCCGGUGUAGCGGUGAAAUGCGUAGAGAUCGGGAGGAAUACCAGUGGCGAAGGCGGCCUUCUGGACUGACACUGACACUGAGGUGCGAAAGCGUGGGUAGCAAACAGGAUUAGAUACCCUAGUAGUC